GCUUGUCUCAAAGAUUAAGCCAUGCAUGUCUAAGUAUAAGUAGUAUACAGCGAAACUGCGAAUGGCUCAUUAAAACAGUUAUAGUUUAUUCGAUAGUAAAAUUACAUGGAUAACCGUGGUAAAUCUAUGGCUAAUACAUGCGCAAAGGCCCGACCCUGAAGGGCUGUAUUUAUUAGAUCUAACCAUCAUUUGGUGAAUCAUAGUAACUGAUCGGAUCGCAUGGGCUACGCCCGCGACAAACCAUUCAAGUUUCUGCCCCAUCAGCUUUCGAUGGUAGUGUAUUGGACUACCAUGGCUUUUACGGGUAACGGAGGAUUAGGGUUCGAUUCCGGAGAGGGAGCCUGAGAAACGGCUACCACAUCUAAGGAAGGCAGCAGG
Molecule: ribosomal RNA, 378 nt
Filed under: uncultured Peniculida
Lineage: Eukaryota; Ciliophora; Oligohymenophorea; Peniculida
Description: partial small subunit ribosomal RNA
Rfam family: Eukaryotic small subunit ribosomal RNA
Source: RNAcentral